This 714-nucleotide non-coding RNA is filed under the name Coniosporium apollinis CBS 100218. RNAcentral describes it as "Eukaryotic large subunit ribosomal RNA". It matches the Rfam family "Eukaryotic large subunit ribosomal RNA", at positions 665 to 1508 of the family's 3401-position model. Lineage: Eukaryota; Fungi; Ascomycota; Dothideomycetes. The record is from Rfam by way of RNAcentral.
ACCAAGGAGUGCAGUGGGCCAGCAAGUAUUCUGUACACACUACACGAUGCGCAGCGAAGGCUAUGCAGCUGGCGCACUGCGACCCGAUAGAUAGUGAACUAUGCCUGGUCUAGAUGAAGUCCGGGGAAACUCUGAUGGAAGUCUUAAGCCGUUCUGACGUUCAAUUCGAUGGCAUGAACUGGGUAUAGGGGCGAAAGACCAAUCGAACUAUCUGGUAGCUGGUUCCUUCCGAAAUGUCUCUCAGGACAGCGCCUGGAUGUAUGUAACCUUGUGUAGAGUAUGAACUUCAUUGUUCUGAAACUGCGAAGCAGGGAGUGGCGUUGCUUUGAUGAACGCGUGGAUAAUAGACUGGGUAGUGGGCUGAUGCUAGUAAGUAGCGUUGGCGAAGAGGGAUGAACCUGUUGGCGAGAUAAGAUCUCCAAGCAAAAGGCAGUGAAACCAGUAAAGAGGCAGAUGAAUCUAGACAGUGGGGCGGUGGCCAUAGAAGUUGGAAUCCGCUAAGAAACGUGUUACAACGUACCUACCGAAUUCAACUGUUCUGAAAAUGGACGAGGCUAUACUUUUGCAUCGAUUCUCGUCACGCUUUUUGCGUAGUAGGAAGGCAUGGAGGGUGUGCAGAAGCACGCGGGCGACUGUGUGUGGAACAGCCUCCAGAGCAGAUCUUGGUGGUAGUAGCGACAAUUUCAGAAUGAAACACCGAAGAGGAGAAGGGUU